RNAcentral lists this ribosomal RNA (629 nucleotides) under Paenibacillus sp. 16R-16. RNAcentral's name for it is "bacterial SSU rRNA". It matches the Rfam family "Bacterial small subunit ribosomal RNA", at positions 91 to 707 of the family's 1533-position model. The record is from RNAcentral. Lineage: Bacteria; Bacillati; Bacillota; Bacilli; Caryophanales; Paenibacillaceae.
GCUAGCGGCGGACGGGUGAGUAACACGUAGGUAACCUGCCUAUAAGAUCGGGAUAACUAUCGGAAACGAUAGCUAAGACCGGAUAAUUGGUUUUCUCGCAUGAGAGAAUUAUGAAACACGGAGCAAUCUGUGGCUUAUAGAUGGGCCUGCGGCGCAUUAGCUUGUUGGUGGGGUAACGGCCUACCAAGGCGACGAUGCGUAGCCGACCUGAGAGGGUGAACGGCCACACUGGGACUGAGACACGGCCCAGACUCCUACGGGAGGCAGCAGUAGGGAAUCUUCCGCAAUGGACGCAAGUCUGACGGAGCAACGCCGCGUGAGUGAUGAAGGUUUUCGGAUCGUAAAGCUCUGUUGCCCUAGACGAACAGCAAGGAGAGUAACUGCUCUUUGUGUGACGGUAUAGGAGAAGAAAGCCCCGGCUAACUACGUGCCAGCAGCCGCGGUAAUACGUAGGGGGCAAGCGUUGUCCGGAAUUAUUGGGCGUAAAGCGCGCGCAGGCGGUCAAUUAAGUUGGGUGUUUAAGCCCGGGGCUCAACCCCGGUUCGCAUCCAAAACUGGUUGACUUGAGUGUAGGAGAGGAAAGUGGAAUUCCACGUGUAGCGGUGAAAUGCGUAGAGAUGUGGAGGAAC